Molecule: ribosomal RNA, 579 nt
Filed under: Salmonella enterica
Lineage: Bacteria; Pseudomonadati; Pseudomonadota; Gammaproteobacteria; Enterobacterales; Enterobacteriaceae
Description: partial 23S ribosomal RNA
Rfam family: Bacterial large subunit ribosomal RNA
Source: RNAcentral
CUGCGAUAAGCGCCGGUAAGGUGAUAUGAACCGUUAUAACCGGCGAUACCCGAAUGGGGAAACCCAGUGUGACUCGUCACACUAUCAUUAACUGAAUCCAUAGGUUAAUGAGGCGAACCGGGGGAACUGAAACAUCUAAGUACCCCGAGGAAAAGAAAUCAACCGAGAUUCCCCCAGUAGCGGCGAGCGAACGGGGAGGAGCCCAGAGCCUGAAUCAGCAUGUGUGUUAGUGGAAGCGUCUGGAAAGGCGCGCGAUACAGGGUGACAGCCCCGUACACAAAAGCGCAUGUGCUGUGAGCUCGAUGAGUAGGGCGGGACACGUGGUAUCCUGUCUGAAUAUGGGGGGACCAUCCUCCAAGGCUAAAUACUCCUGACUGACCGAUAGUGAACCAGUACCGUGAGGGAAAGGCGAAAAGAACCCCGGCGAGGGGAGUGAAAAAGAACCUGAAACCGUGUACGUACAAGCAGUGGGAGCACCCUUUGGGUGUGACUGCGUACCUUUUGUAUAAUGGGUCAGCGACUUAUAUUCUGUAGCAAGGUUAACCGAAUAGGGGAGCCGGAGGGAAACCGAGUCUUAAC